AGUCUAAAGGCAGGAUUGCACUGUACAGUAGCAACUACAGGAGCAUGCCAGUGCUGUGUUUGCUGCUGAUUCUGCUUUUCUUUUGAAGUAGGCAAUGGAGCACCUUUGAUGGGAGAGGAGGUGAUGACCUUACUCUGCUCAUUCAAACCCAGCAUCUGCAUGAGAGAAGCUGCACAUCAAGGGAUGUAUUUUGUCAGAUCUGUGGGACCUUGGUGGCUUUUCAUGGAACGGUCAUCGACUCUCGUAUUUUAAUAGUAGUUCAAGAAUUUUCAUCAUGAAUAUGCUAAGCCCAAAAUCUUAAAAAUUCAUAAAAUUUUCAGCUGAAUGUGCAGAACAACAUUCAGUUGCUGAUAUUUAGGGAAAUUAGUCCCUGAGAACUGGGAGAUAGCUCAGUGGGAGCAAAGCCAGUUAGAAAAGUAUUCUGUGACUGCUUUAUUGUAACCUGCAGAAGUCUGCAUUUUGCGCAGCAUGAUAAAAUGUUCUCCAGUUAAUUCUCCCCACCACGCAAUUUUUUUUUUUUGUUUUUGCCCAGUAGAAAUGUAUUUAUGGAUCACUUGGCUUAUUGGUGCUAUUGUCUGCCGGGUUUUUUUCAUUGCUCCCAGUGAAUAAAGGUUUAAUAUUUUUCCUAAAUCGUGUAUUUUUACCUGCUUUCAGUUCAGUGUCAGUCCAGCCAAUGGCUGGGGAACGACUUCAGGCAAGGCUCCUCAGAGCCCCAGGGUGGCAGCAGGGCUGGCUGCAGGCUGAGGUGCAGGAGGUUGGCAGGGGUGAGGCAGCCCUUCAUCCCUCCCUCCAUGGGGCUUUCCCUCCUUGCCUGUAUCUGUCUCUGUAUUUAUUGGCAAUCUCCUGGAACAGUGACUCACUCUCCUGACUGUUUGUUUUCUCUUGAGUUUCUGCUCCAGAUGCUUGUCUGCAUAUCUCAGUGCCAUGGAUGCCAAGCUCCAUCAAACCAGGAGGAGGUCUGUGUGCUGAGAGGGGCUGCCUGGCCACAAGAAGGAAAGACAGGAGAGAAAUGAGGGAGUGAGCUCACGCCGUUCAGAUCGAUACUGGUCUUGUGACCCCUGUCACCAGCAGCCCCUGGCAUCUCCUAAGGACACAGCAGCUUCCAGGCUCAUGGGUCCAGCCAUGCCCUCUUCCCCCAGAAGAUGAUGUCUUAAAAUUUUCUGUGUGCUCUUUAGCAACCAGAGUGGUUGAUUCAGAAGCAGUGG
Molecule: long non-coding RNA, 1205 nt
Filed under: Junco hyemalis (dark-eyed junco)
Lineage: Eukaryota; Metazoa; Chordata; Aves; Passeriformes; Passerellidae
Description: lncRNA (ENSJHYG00000007760.1)
Source: RNAcentral